Oreochromis aureus is the source of this 716-nucleotide long non-coding RNA. The record is from Ensembl. NCBI's taxonomy places the organism in Eukaryota, Metazoa, Chordata, Actinopteri, Cichliformes, Cichlidae.
GUUUGGGUCAAUGCGUCGUUCAGUGAGUCGUUCAGUGGGUUGUUCAGUAGGUGGUAAAACUGGGCCUUUUGUUUUGUCAUUAAGUAGGCAAAAGGGGGUGGGGUAGCAUACAGCUACAAAGAUAUAAAAGUAGCCAACUUGUGUUAUGCUGUGGUUAUUGCCACUGUGUUUCCGCAGGACACUGACUGAGAGAGAGAAGGACGAGAACAGAAGACAACUGUUCAGUUUUAAUUGUAAACAAGAUGGAGACAAAUUUUGUGUAUUGCCUGCUUUGCAAAAAGCCUCAAAAUUGCAUUCAAACACACCUGAGAAAAGUUUGCCUGAAAGACUGCACACCACAGGAACGUGAGGAAGAAGCUUCCAGAGCCAUUGACUCACAGAAGCUGUUUGGUAAUGAAGGUAGAGUCUGGAACUUCACAGAGCUCCAGGAGUACUGCAAGGAUGAAGAAGCUUGCAUUAAACUCUGCACUCGCCUUCAAUCACGUGGAUUUCUCAUCACGAACAGUCCCCAAGCAUGCCCGACAGUCGUGCCAACAGCGAGGCCUGAUAAGAAGAAAAUUCUUGCCGUGGCCAUGAAGGACAUCGACUAUUUCCAUGCAAGACUUUCAGGCGGUGAUUCCAUUCCCACAUUUGCAAUGACUACCUUCAGACAGUACUGCGAGGCCAUCCUGAUUUUACAGCAUGGACUGACAGCAAAUGCUGUUCAACAACUUUCU